RNAcentral lists this transfer RNA (69 nucleotides) under Glaucidium cuculoides (Asian barred owlet). RNAcentral's name for it is "tRNA-Phe". Lineage: Eukaryota; Metazoa; Chordata; Aves; Strigiformes; Strigidae. The record is from RNAcentral.
GUCCCUGUAGCUUACAGACAAAGCAUGGCACUGAAGACGCCAAGACGGUCGCCCACAUACCCAAGGACA